UUAGCAUGGAAUAAUGAAAUAGGACGCGUGGUUCUAUUUUGUUGGUUUCUAGGACCGCCGUAAUGAUUAAUAGGGACAGUCGGAGGCAUCAGUAUUCAAUUGUCAGAGGUGAAAUUCUUGGAUUUAUUGAAGACUAACUACUGCGAAAGCAUUUGCCAAGGAUGUUUUCAUUAAUCAGGAACGAAAGUUAGGGGAUCGAAGACGAUCAGAUACCGUCGUAGUCUUAACCAUAAACUAUGCCGACUAGGGAUCGGACGAUGUUAUUUUUUGACGCGUUCGGCACCUUACGAGAAAUCAAAGUGCUUGGGCUCCAGGGGGAGUAUGGUCGCAAGGCUGAAACUUGAAGAAAUUGACGGAAGGGCACCACCAGGGGUGGAGCCUGCGGCUUAAUUUGACUCAACACGGGGAAACUCACCAGGUCCAGACACAAUGAGGAUUGACAGAUUGAGAGCUCUUUCUUGAUUUUGUGGGUGGUGGUGCAUGGCCGUUCUUAGUUGGUGGAGUGAUUUGUCUGCUUAAUUGCGAUAACGAACGAGACCUUAACCUGCUAAAUAGCCCGUAUUGCUUUGGCAGUACGCUGGCUUCUUAGAGGGACUAUCGACUCAAGCCGAUGGAAGUUUGAGGCAAUAACAGGUCUGUGAUGCCCUUAGAUGUUCUGGGCCGCACGCGCGCUACACUGACGGAGCCAGCGAGUACUUCCUUGGCCGAAAGGCCCGGGUAAUCUUGUUAAACUCCGUCGUGCUGGGGAUAGAGCAUUGCAAU
Molecule: ribosomal RNA, 762 nt
Filed under: uncultured Sordariomycetes
Lineage: Eukaryota; Fungi; Ascomycota; Sordariomycetes
Description: SSU rRNA
Rfam family: Eukaryotic small subunit ribosomal RNA
Source: RNAcentral